RNAcentral lists this long non-coding RNA (748 nucleotides) under Homo sapiens (human). Its description in RNAcentral is "HSALNT0020256". The record is from RNAcentral. Lineage: Eukaryota; Metazoa; Chordata; Mammalia; Primates; Hominidae.
GAAGAACCAGGAGGCUGUAAGGGAGAAGAUGUCCUCAACCCAACCCACGGCGCUCUGAUGCCCUUUAUCCAGCAAACUGCAGGAACUUACUCUUGAGGAGUUUUGAAGGAGAGCCCAAAGGCUUGGCGCAAACUGAUAGGUGCAAAAUGAGCCCACAUUCCAGAGUGAGGGCUAAACCAUCUACAAGGGACACACAACUGAGAUAUUGAAGAACCCACUUUACAACCCUGAGCACAUCAAGCACUUACAGGUGUUAAAGAUUGAGAUGGAAAGUGGGGAGUAAGUGGAGAGAGACAGAACUUGAUUUCCUUGGAGAAAGAUGGAGAAAUGUUCUGAGGAAGAAGCCUGCCCUUCACAUGAAAACAAGUGAUUGGGGCUUUCAGGAACCACUUGGCGACCAUAAUAGAAAUAAGCGACUGGAGCUGGACCCACGCCUGCAAAGCAGGUGUCUAUUCUGCCUUCUGAAGACAAAAUCUCCUUAAGGAAGUAGAGCCCUCACUAAAUCUCCCAUGAUACGCCCUGAGCUUCUAAAGGGAGUGAUCUUAACACUGGCAUAUUUAUUCUCUGACUCUAAGUAAAAGAGGGACUCCAGCAGCAGUGCUCCGGAGCCAGCCCAUCCUGCCUUGCAAGAACUGACAGUGAAAUUUUCCAGAACUCUGAGAGCCAGUUGUUAAAGGCAUAUGUCAUUUGAAAAUAAAUUAUAUAAACUUAAAAUUAUAUCACAUUAAAAAUAAAAGUAAUAAGUACU